CCUUUGCCGGCGACCGGCGCACGGGUGAGUAACACGUAUGCAACCUGCCCUCUUCAGGGGGACAACCUUCCGAAAGGGAGGCUAAUCCCGCGUAUAUCGGUUUCGGGCAUCCGAGAUCGAGGAAAGAUUCAUCGGAAGAGGAUGGGCAUGCGGCGCAUUAGCUAGACGGCGGGGUAACGGCCCACCGUGGCGACGAUGCGUAGGGGUUCUGAGAGGAAGGUCCCCCACACUGGUACUGAGACACGGACCAGACUCCUACGGAAGGCAGCAG
RNAcentral lists this ribosomal RNA (271 nucleotides) under uncultured bacterium. RNAcentral's name for it is "partial 16S ribosomal RNA". It matches the Rfam family "Bacterial small subunit ribosomal RNA", at positions 82 to 354 of the family's 1533-position model. The record is from RNAcentral.